RNAcentral lists this long non-coding RNA (438 nucleotides) under Hordeum vulgare. Its description in RNAcentral is "long non-coding RNA (HVUL_LNC016895)". The record is from RNAcentral. Lineage: Eukaryota; Viridiplantae; Streptophyta; Magnoliopsida; Poales; Poaceae.
UCGGUGCCGAAAACUAUAGGUGCAUUAUUGGACAAUCUAGAUCCUUUCGUUCUAUCUGCUCAAUAAUGAUAAGAAAUACAAUGGACGUCCAAUUAUUAAUCUCCCUAUACUUUUACUGAAGGCUAUGUGAAAUCCAUGAAGAAAAAAGCUACUACUGGGCUCUUGAUCUAAAUGAACUCAAAGGGAGACCCAAUAAACUCAUGAAGCUUUAAAUUUCCUAACUACGGUUGGGAAGCAUCCUCACACCACCACCUUCAUGUUUUUACGGUAGACUUCUUCGAAGAAUCAACCAGCAUCACUACUAUCUACAACAAUACCACGUUUUUAUAAGCAUGAUGGUGUGUGUUGAAAACACUUUUGUCAAGCAUAUCACCAAUUAGAUCUAGGAUGAUACCUCCCAAGCCUAAAUUAACAAGCCACUGAUGAGACUUCUUGCCC